CAAAGGAGCAAUCCGCUGAAAGAUGGGCUCGCGUCCGAUUAGGUAGUUGGCGGGGCAACGGCCCACCAAGCCGACGAUCGGUAGCCGGACUGGGAGGUUGAACGGCCACAUUGGGACUGAGACACGGCCCAGACUCCUACGGGAGGCAGCAGUGAGGGAUAUUGGUCAAUGGGGGAAACCCUGAACCAGCAACGCCGCGUGAGGGAAGACGGUUUUCGGAUUGUAAACCUCUGUCCUCUGUGAAGAUGAUGACGGUAGCAGAGGAGGAAGCUCCGGCUAACUACGUGCCAGCAGCCGCGGUAAUACGUAGGGAGCAAGCGUUGUCCGGAUUUACUGGGUGUAAAGGGUGCGUAGGCGGCUUUGCAAGUCAGAAGUGAAAUCCAUGGGCUUAACCCAUGAACUGCUUUUGAAACUGCAGAGCUUGAGUGGAGUAGAGGUAGGCGGAAUUCCCGGUGUAGCGGUGAAAUGCGUAGAGAUCGGGAGGAACACCAGUGGCGAAGGCGGCCUGCUGGGCUCUAACUGACGCUGAGGCACGAAAGCGUGGGUAGCAAACAGGAUUAGAUACCCUGGUAGUCCACGCUGUAAACGAUGAUUACUAGGUGUGGGUGGACUGACCCCAUCC
RNAcentral lists this ribosomal RNA (622 nucleotides) under uncultured bacterium. RNAcentral's name for it is "bacterial SSU rRNA". It matches the Rfam family "Bacterial small subunit ribosomal RNA", at positions 202 to 842 of the family's 1533-position model. The record is from RNAcentral.